CAGGUGCUAAUACCGCAUAACAGUUUAUGCCGCAUGGCAUAAGAGUGAAAGGCGCUUUCGGGUGUCGCUGAUGGAUGGACCCGCGGUGCAUUAGCUAGUUGGUGAGGUAACGGCUCACCAAGGCCACGAUGCAUAGCCGACCUGAGAGGGUGAUCNGCCACACUGGGACUGAGACACGGCCCAGACUCCUACGGGAGGCAGCAGUAGGGAAUCUUCGGCAAUGGACGAAAGUCUGACCGAGCAACGCCGCGUGAGUGAAGAAGGUUUUCGGAUCGUAAAACUCUGUUGUUAGAGAAGAACAAGGACGUUAGUAACUGAACGUCCCCUGACGGUAUCUAACCAGAAAGCCACGGCUAACUACGUGCCAGCAGCCGCGGUAAUACGUAGGUGGCAAGCGUUGUCCGGAUUUAUUGGGCGUAAAGCGAGCGCAGGCGGUUUCUUAAGUCUGAUGUGAAAGCCC
This 460-nucleotide ribosomal RNA is filed under the name Enterococcus faecalis. RNAcentral's name for it is "bacterial SSU rRNA". It matches the Rfam family "Bacterial small subunit ribosomal RNA", at positions 157 to 603 of the family's 1533-position model. Lineage: Bacteria; Bacillati; Bacillota; Bacilli; Lactobacillales; Enterococcaceae. The record is from RNAcentral.